Molecule: unclassified non-coding RNA, 287 nt
Filed under: Hevea brasiliensis (rubber tree)
Lineage: Eukaryota; Viridiplantae; Streptophyta; Magnoliopsida; Malpighiales; Euphorbiaceae
Source: RNAcentral
GCAAGUUAUAAUCUUCAUCUGCCUCCCCCCCAAUACACACACUUUCUCUGUGUGCAUGUUUCCCUCUCUCCCACGUUUAAAUAUAUUCAAGGAUAAAUGUGGUAUUUUGAUAAAGAGAGAUGAUAUUAAGGCCUUAAAGUACAAAAUCAGUUAAUUGUAGAAAGCAUAACUAACACAUAACCAUAAGCAAUGUUAAAUCUUUAAGACAUUUAACUCAUGCACAUAAAUAACAGCUUCAUGCAUCACAGGACAUGACAGUUAUGUCAAAAUCACAUCUUAAAUCGUUG